GGUUAAGCGACUAAGCGUACACGGUGGAUGCCCUGGCAGUCAGAGGCGAUGAAGGGCGUGCUAAUCUGCGAUAAGCGCCGGUAAGGUGAUAUGAACCGUUAUAACCGGCGAUACCCGAAUGGGGAAACCCAGUGUGAUUCGUCACACUAUCAUUAACUGAAUCCAUAGGUUAAUGAGGCGAACCGGGGGAACUGAAACAUCUAAGUACCCCGAGGAAAAGAAAUCAACCGAGAUUCCCCCAGUAGCGGCGAGCGAACGGGGAGGAGCCCAGAGCCUGAAUCAGCAUGUGUGUUAGUGGAAGCGUCUGGAAAGGCGCGCGAUACAGGGUGACAGCCCCGUACACAAAAGCGCAUGUGCUGUGAGCUCGAUGAGUAGGGCGGGACACGUGGUAUCCUGUCUGAAUAUGGGGGGACCAUCCUCCAAGGCUAAAUACUCCUGACUGACCGAUAGUGAACCAGUACCGUGAGGGAAAGGCGAAAAGAACCCCGGCGAGGGGAGUGAAAAAGAACCUGAAACCGUGUACGUACAAGCAGUGGGAGCACAGGUUUACCUGUGUGACUGCGUACCUUUUGUAUAAUGGGUCAGCGACUUAUAUUCUGUAGCAAGGUUAACCGUAUAGGGGAGCCGGAGGGAAACCGAGUCUUAAUUGGGCGUUAAGUUGCAGGGUAUAGACCCGAAACCCGGUGAUCUAGCCAUGGGCAGGUUGAAGGUUGGGUAACACUAACUGGAGGACCGAACCGACUAAUGUUGAAAAAUUAGCGGAUGACCUGUGGCUGGGGGUGAAAGGCCAAUCAAACCGGGAGAUAGCUGGUUCUCCCCGAAAGCUAUUUAGGUAGCGCCUCGUGAAUUCAUCUCCGGGGGUAGAGCACUGUUUCGGCUAGGGGGCCAUCCCGGCUUACCAACCCGAUGCAAACUGCGAAUACCGGAGAAUGUUAUCACGGGAGACACACGGCGGGUGCUAACGUCCGUCGUGAAGAGGGAAACAACCCAGACCGCCAGCUAAGGUCCCAAAGUCAUGGUUAAGUGGGAAACGAUGUGGGAAGGCCCAGACAGCCAGGAUGUUGGCUUAGAAGCAGCCAUCAUUUAAAGAAAGCGUAAUAGCUCACUGGUCGAGUCGGCCUGCGCGGAAGAUGUAACGGGGCUAAACCAUGCACCGAAGCUGCGGCAGCGAACGUAUCACUUAAAGCGAUUCAGCGGGUUACGAUUGACGGAGCGAAGCGACGUCAAAGCGUAUACAAAGUCGAGUCGGUUUAAGGAUACGUUCGUUGGGUAGGGGAGCGUUCUGUAAGCCUGUGAAGGUGGCCUGUGAGGGUUGCUGGAGGUAUCAGAAGUGCGAAUGCUGACAUAAGUAACGAUAAAGCGGGUGAAAAGCCCGCUCGCCGGAAGACCAAGGGUUCCUGUCCAACGUUAAUCGGGGCAGGGUGAGUCGACCCCUAAGGCGAGGCCGAAAGGCGUAGUCGAUGGGAAACGGGUUAAUAUUCCCGUACUUGGUGUUACUGCGAAGGGGGGACGGAGAAGGCUAUGUUGGCCGGGCGACGGUUGUCCCGGUUUAAGCGUGUAGGUGUGUGUUCCAGGUAAAUCCGGUUCACUUUAACACUGAGGCGUGAUGACGAGGCACUACGGUGCUGAAGCAACAAAUGCCCUGCUUCCAGGAAAAGCCUCUAAGCAUCAGGUAACAUCAAAUCGUACCCCAAACCGACACAGGUGGUCAGGUAGAGAAUACCAAGGCGCUUGAGAGAACUCGGGUGAAGGAACUAGGCAAAAUGGUGCCGUAACUUCGGGAGAAGGCACGCUGACACGUAGGUGAAGUGAUUUACUCACGGAGCUGAAGUCAGUCGAAGAUACCAGCUGGCUGCAACUGUUUAUUAAAAACACAGCACUGUGCAAACACGAAAGUGGACGUAUACGGUGUGACGCCUGCCCGGUGCCGGAAGGUUAAUUGAUGGGGUCAGCGCAAGCGAAGCUCCUGAUCGAAGCCCCGGUAAACGGCGGCCGUAACUAUAACGGUCCUAAGGUAGCGAAAUUCCUUGUCGGGUAAGUUCCGACCUGCACGAAUGGCGUAAUGAUGGCCAGGCUGUCUCCACCCGAGACUCAGUGAAAUUGAACUCGCUGUGAAGAUGCAGUGUACCCGCGGCAAGACGGAAAGACCCCGUGAACCUUUACUAUAGCUUGACACUGAACAUUGAGCCUUGAUGUGUAGGAUAGGUGGGAGGCUUUGAAGUGUGGACGCCAGUCUGCAUGGAGCCGACCUUGAAAUACCACCCUUUAAUGUUUGAUGUUCUAACGUGGACCCGUAAUCCGGGUUGCGGACAGUGUCUGGUGGGUAGUUUGACUGGGGCGGUCUCCUCCUAAAGAGUAACGGAGGAGCACGAAGGUUGGCUAAUCCUGGUCGGACAUCAGGAGGUUAGUGCAAUGGCAUAAGCCAGCUUGACUGCGAGCGUGACGGCGCGAGCAGGUGCGAAAGCAGGUCAUAGUGAUCCGGUGGUUCUGAAUGGAAGGGCCAUCGCUCAACGGAUAAAAGGUACUCCGGGGAUAACAGGCUGAUACCGCCCAAGAGUUCAUAUCGACGGCGGUGUUUGGCACCUCGAUGUCGGCUCAUCACAUCCUGGGGCUGAAGUAGGUCCCAAGGGUAUGGCUGUUCGCCAUUUAAAGUGGUACGCGAGCUGGGUUUAGAACGUCGUGAGACAGUUCGGUCCCUAUCUGCCGUGGGCGCUGGAGAACUGAGGGGGGCUGCUCCUAGUACGAGAGGACCGGAGUGGACGCAUCACUGGUGUUCGGGUUGUCAUGCCAAUGGCACUGCCCGGUAGCUAAAUGCGGAAGAGAUAAGUGCUGAAAGCAUCUAAGCACGAAACUUGCCCCGAGAUGAGUUCUCCCUGAGACUUAGAGUCUCCUGAAGGAACGUUGAAGACGACGACGUUGAUAGGCCGGGUGUGUAAGCGCAGCGAUGCGUUGAGCUAACCGGUACUAAUGAACCGUGAGGCUUAACCUU
RNAcentral lists this ribosomal RNA (2989 nucleotides) under Salmonella enterica subsp. enterica serovar Typhimurium. RNAcentral's name for it is "23S ribosomal RNA". It matches the Rfam family "Bacterial large subunit ribosomal RNA". Lineage: Bacteria; Pseudomonadati; Pseudomonadota; Gammaproteobacteria; Enterobacterales; Enterobacteriaceae. The record is from RNAcentral.